UGAGGCUAUGCUGAAAGAUGGUUUCGGCUAUCACUUACAGAUGGGCCCGCGGCGCAUUAGCUAGUUGGUGAGGUAACGGCUCACCAAGGCAACGAUGCGUAGCCGACCUGAGAGGGUGAUCGGCCACACUGGGACUGAGACACGGCCCAGACUCCUACGGGAGGCAGCAGUAGGGAAUCUUCCGCAAUGGACGAAAGUCUGACGGAGCAACGCCGCGUGAGUGAUGAAGGUUUUCGGAUCGUAAAACUCUGUUGUCAGGGAAGAACAAGUGCCGGAGUAACUGCCGGCACCUUGACGGUACCUGACCAGAAAGCCACGGCUAACUACGUGCCAGCAGCCGCGGUAAUACGUAGGUGGCAAGCGUUGUCCGGAAUUAUUGGGCGUAAAGCGCGCGCAGGCGGUCUCUUAAGUCUGAUGUGAAAGCCCACGGCUCAACCGUGGAGGGUCAUUGGAAACUGGGGGACUUGAGUGCAGAAGAGGAAAGUGGAAUUCCACGUGUAGCGGUGAAAUGCGUAGAGAUGUGGAGGAACACCAGUGGCGAAGGCGACUUUCUGGUCUGUAACUGACGCUGAGGCGCGAAAGCGUGGGGA
This 590-nucleotide ribosomal RNA is filed under the name Bacillus sp. MY-CA90. RNAcentral's name for it is "bacterial SSU rRNA". It matches the Rfam family "Bacterial small subunit ribosomal RNA", at positions 190 to 767 of the family's 1533-position model. Lineage: Bacteria; Bacillati; Bacillota; Bacilli; Caryophanales; Bacillaceae. The record is from RNAcentral.